AUGUUCCAGAAGUAUUCUCUCCUGACGUUUCGCCCACAAAAGACAUACAACAACCCUGUGAUCCCGGCUAUGAAAGCCUUCAACAACACAAACCGAACAUCCACUGGAGCAAGAGUCAUUGUUUCCAAGACCCUGAACUAUCCUCUAGGCCUGGAAAGUCCCUUGCCAAAGAUCUCAGAUUUUCUAGCUCAGGUCAUCUUCUCUGAAACUUGGGUGGAGAAGGAACAAGGAAGACUAGCACCAUGUAAGAUAACACUCAAAGUAAAGUUGGAGGAAGAAGAGGAAAUCUGGCUCAUGAUGACAUCAGCCUUUGGAUUUUUUUGGGCAGAAUCUCUAAGUCAAUUUCUGGAGGCAUUCAGGGGCCACAAAGACAGACUUGGGGAGUUGCAUGACCCCACCAGGCUUCCUGUCUGCGAAUAAAUGGCUAACAGAAGAGAGCUGGAGUUCCUCAGUGGCCUGCUACUCUUUCAGUGACCACAACCCAACACAAGUCUCUGGAUACUUCAGUCUGCUAGAAAUCAGAGGUUCUAAAUCCAGACUUUGGGAAAAGAACAGUUUGGACCACAGCUCUCCAAAUUCCCCAGCCUGCCAGAAAGCUAGUGGCCAUGUUGGAGGCAAAUUCUGGGAUCUUUAGUCUCCAAAAAGGUACUUUUCCAAACGGUUCCUCUACAGAGCCUAUAACUCUGGAUGGUUAAACCAGUUAUUUUCAAAUGGUUAUUUUCAAAUAACAAAUUAUUUUCAACUCUAGUACACAAAAUAUUUGGAAUGGUGGAACAAUUGUCUUGAAAAUAGGAAUGGAAAGGAUAUUUAGGACACAUGGUUAUAACACUGUAAAGGAGUGUAUUAUUUAUGAUACUGGACAGGGAUUUUCAAGAUCUAGAACAGGCACAACUUGAGCCCCUCCAUGUGUUUGGACUCCAGCUGACAGAAACUCUGAUCAUUGAAGAAGUUGGAGUUGGAGGCCCAAGCACCUGAAGGACCACUGGUUGUGCAGAUCUGAUCUGGAGUCGAAUUCCUGCUGUGCCAUGAAACAUCUGCUGCCUUUUGAACAUGGGAAGAAAUUGUAUCGAUGUACCUGUUUUGAAGGGGACAAUUGCCCCGUCUCUGGGCAACAUAAAUAUAUUCUGUAUUUGGAAGCAGUUGUCUAUUUUGCAUACAAGUACUAUGUACACAUAACACGUCCCAAUCUGUGGAAUCUGGAUCAUGCAUUGUCUUUCUAGCUAUGAGAUACAGCCAAAUAUUAAUUGGGUUUGAGCAGGCAGUUUCUCUUGGAGAUGACAGGAGUGGCCGACUUGAUGGAUCAAAGUCUUGGUUCUUCAGACUGUUGCUUUACUCUCAGCAUAUUUAGGUUUCUGAGCAUGUUUUAGGCUUUGUACUGAGAACACACCCCACAACGAACCCAAUACUCUCUACGUUGGAAAGGAACGUCCCACCCUGAGCAAGUUGUCUUUUCCUAAAACUUGUCAGUUCUUACUGGUGGAGCAUACUUACAAACGAUCCCACUUUUCUUUGGGCAAUGCUGAAAUGAUGCAAAUUUGCAUCAGCACUCCAGGCAGAGAACAUGCUCUGAAGAAGUGCAGGUUGAUCCAAAACCCUGAGAGCUAAUUUUACCUGUUCUUAUCAUGUUUCCACUGAGGGAAAACAGGGAAAGGUAAAAUGUACUAUUUGUUUAAUACGAGCUGUUUUGUGUAAGUUCAGCUGCUGACCUUGUCAUCAGUCUUUGUGUGUGAAGCAAAUGAAAGCAUGCUUUAGCCCCAAGCUCACACUUGAAUGCUGGAUCUGCAGGCCCAUGUGCCUAAUCUCAGCAAACAAGCUGGCACAUGCAUGUUUAAAACUGAUAGGUAAUCCUCCCUCCACUUCACAAACCAGUGGGGAUUUGAUCCCUGUGUUACAGGUAGAAGUUCAACUAUUAUUUUAUAUGUU
RNAcentral lists this long non-coding RNA (1923 nucleotides) under Anolis carolinensis (green anole). RNAcentral's name for it is "lncRNA (ENSACAG00000042488.1)". The record is from RNAcentral. Lineage: Eukaryota; Metazoa; Chordata; Lepidosauria; Squamata; Anolidae.